Molecule: ribosomal RNA, 474 nt
Filed under: uncultured bacterium
Lineage: Bacteria
Description: bacterial SSU rRNA
Rfam family: Bacterial small subunit ribosomal RNA
Source: RNAcentral
ACUCCUACGGGAGGCAGCAGUGGGGAAUAUUGCACAAUGGGGGAAACCCUGAUGCAGCCAUGCCGCGUGUGUGAAGAAGGUCUUCGGGUUGUAAAGCACUUUCAGUAGGGAGGAAGGUAGUGUAGUUAACACCAGCAUUAUUUGACGUUACCUACAGAAGAAGCACCGGCUAACUCCGUGCCAGCAGCCGCGGUAAUACGGAGGGUGCGAGCGUUAAUCGGAAUUACUGGGCGUAAAGCGCAUGCAGGCGGCCUGUUAAGUCAGAUGUGAAAGCCCGGGGCUUAACCUCGGAAUUGCAUUUGAAACUGGCAGGCUAGAGUCUUGUAGAGGGGGUUAGAAUUUCAGGUGUAGCGGUGAAAUGCGUAGAGAUCUGAAGGAAUACCAGUGGCGAAGGCGGCCCCCUGGACAAAGACUGACGCUCAGAUGCGAAAGCGUGGGAGCAAACAGGAUUAGAUACCCCGUGGUAGCGACUGA